UACGUAGGGUGCAAGCGUUGUCCGGAUUUAUUGGGCGUAAAGAGCUCGUAGGCGGUUUGGCAAGUCGGGUGUGAAACCUCCAGGCUCAACCUGGAGACGCCACUCGAUACUGCUAUGACUUGAGUCUGGUAGGGGAUCACGGAAUUCCUGGUGUAGCGGUGAAAUGCAUAGAUAUCAGGAGGAACACCGGUGGCGAAGGCGGGUCUCUGGGCCGAUACUGACGCUGAGGAGCGAAAGCGUGGGGAGCGAACAGG
RNAcentral lists this ribosomal RNA (254 nucleotides) under uncultured bacterium. RNAcentral's name for it is "partial 16S ribosomal RNA". It matches the Rfam family "Bacterial small subunit ribosomal RNA", at positions 524 to 776 of the family's 1533-position model. The record is from RNAcentral.